GACUUGAUCACCCAAAGACAGGACAGAUACUUUUUGUUUCACAGUAAAUGUUUGCUUCUCAAAUGAUUUCUGAACCCCUAAUACAACAGCAAGAUGAAGAAAAAGGAAUGUUCUGCUCAUGUUUAUGGCAUAAAGCAGCCACAACUGGUCAGACAUGCUGACCAGGAAACUCAAAUUUGUCCUGAGGAACACAAAGAGGACACUGACAAAAGCAACCUUUAAAGAACUGGGGAGCCUGAAGGAGACUGAAAUGAGUCUUGAAGAGGAAGAAAUCUAAGAAGAACACAGCAAAGAACUAGUAAGACCAGGAUGAACAGUGUGAAGUCAACCCCAGUAGGGAAGUCCAAACCCUCCAUUUAAUUCCCUCCCAGCCAAAAGCAGUAUAAUUGCUGAAGCCUCUUAGCUCUUGCAGG
Molecule: long non-coding RNA, 413 nt
Filed under: Cairina moschata (Muscovy duck)
Lineage: Eukaryota; Metazoa; Chordata; Aves; Anseriformes; Anatidae
Description: domestica (muscovy Duck (domestic type)) lncRNA (ENSCMMG00000000324.1)
Source: RNAcentral